AAAAAAACACAGGUUUAAAAUGGGCU
This 26-nucleotide non-coding RNA is filed under the name Arabidopsis thaliana (thale cress). Lineage: Eukaryota; Viridiplantae; Streptophyta; Magnoliopsida; Brassicales; Brassicaceae. The record is from RNAcentral.